GUCCCUAGUGGUGUCAUAUAUACCUAUCCCAUCUAGAUUCAAUGGCUUGGUUGGCACUGGCGAGUGUCAAGGAACUGUGAGUGUUGGGUGCUUGCGAUGUCCUUUCUUGCAGUGAGUGGAGGCGAACUAGUCGCCAGUGCACUAGGCAUGAAAUGAUGUGCUCGAGGAAUUUAGCCAUGUGACGGAUACAACCAGAUGCAGGGGAUAACUACAGAGGGACGUCGCUAGAUCAGUUGUGGAGUUGCUAGGAUUACUGGAAUUGUAAUGGCAGCUUUGGGGAGAGCUGGAGAAACGAUGUCGAUGACGGCGACGGGGUUGAGCAGCUUCGGAGGACAGAAUCUGAUGCGCAUGAUGAACGACAUGGGCAUCUCGAACUCGCUGGUGGCCAUGCUCACGUCGUGCAAUCCUCACGCAGGCUUCCGAGUUUCUAGUUCGGGAGGAGGUCUGGAAGAGGAAGCUACAGGGCGUGGGCAGAAGCGGCCCCACUAUCCCAUAUCCGACAAAGGGCCUGGGGAGGAGCCUGAGGAAGGUGACGAUUGUUGCUACGACGGCGCCCACCCAAUGGAGAAGAAGCGGCGCCUCUCGUUCGAGCAGGUGCGGUCCCUAGAGCGCAACUUCGAAAUGGAAAUCAAGCUCGAGCCCGACAGGAAAAUGAAACUGGCCAAGGAGCUUGGACUGCAACCCCGCCAAAUCGCGGUCUGGUUCCAGAACAGACGUGCACGCUGGAAAACGAAACAGCUGGAGCGCGACUUCGAACUGCUCAACUCUGGGUACAGCAAACUGAAGCGGGACUUUGAGAAGGUGCUCGAGGAGAAAGAUGUCCUCAAGGCCGAGCUCGUGCGUCUCUCAGCCAAGAUUAUCCCCAAAGAUUCCCAAUCCGUAGACUUUUCCCAGAGCGAGAAGGACUCGCAUUGCAAGCCAACGGCAAAUGACCCAGCGAAAUCAGACAAGCUGAAGGAAUCCAAGCCUGCGACUCCCAAGGAUAACCAAAGCACUAGAUCCUCUCCCACCACAGUCGUAUGCUCUGCCACUACGCUUGAGGCAGAGAUAACCUCAACAAGCUCUGGCAGCAACUCCAGCGAUCUGCUCGACGCGGACAGCCCCCGCACUACGGACAGCAACCCCCGCGAGGAGCAGCUGGCAAAUUACUGCGGCCAACUCCUUCCAGAGAACUUUGUGGGACACCUUACAGUUGAGGAGGCUGUGAACACUUCGCAGAAAGUUUAUUCGGUGAAGCUUGAAGAUGGUUGCCAUCACUUCCAAGUAGACGCGACUAGUGGCUAUUUUUUGCCGCCCAUGGCUGAGCAAAGUAUUCUUCCUUGGUGGGAUUGGCCGUAACCGGGGCAUUCAAAUUGUGCCUUUGCGGCAUUUUUUUCCCUUAGAUCUUGGUUAGUUUAAUUUUUUAGUUCUCUCUCUCUCUGGCCCUAUGUGAGGAUCAGGCUGGUUAUGUUCAAUCGAUUCUCGUUACCGAAUACCUCGAGGACCACACACCAGUAGCAUCUAACUGCAAGUGCAUGUCCAGUUUGCUCCAACGACUUGUGUGAUAUAUUUAGUUCAGAUAGAGUUGGUAGAGCUUCAAAGGUAGUGACGAGCAUCCAUGAUUUUUUAGGACUGAUAAGCUGAGGUCUUGCUCAUCCUUCUCAUUUUUUAGCACUUUGUAAAGGCGAAAGCAAAGUGACCUCGGUAGAGGGCGGGCCCUCCAGUGCUUAGGUGCUUAGUUGCUGCAGAUUCCUUCACCAUAAUGAUUUUAAGUAUAAAGAUCUGGUGUUUGCCUGCCUACCUAGCUAGAGUUGGGUAUUGGUAGUGUUGUAUGUUCUAUACGUGAAUUCUGGGAAAGAACUUCGUACUUGAAAAAGAACAGAAUCAAGCUGCCUUUGUUGCUGCCUGUACAAAAUAAAGAAGUGACAUUGAAAAUA
This is a non-coding RNA of Physcomitrium patens, 1916 nucleotides long. The record is from RefSeq and is a predicted model, not a curated record. Lineage: Eukaryota; Viridiplantae; Streptophyta; Bryopsida; Funariales; Funariaceae.